Small nucleolar RNA from Lampris incognitus (smalleye Pacific opah), 73 nucleotides. RefSeq annotates it as small nucleolar RNA SNORD19. The transcript has a single exon. NCBI's taxonomy places the organism in Eukaryota, Metazoa, Chordata, Actinopteri, Lampriformes, Lampridae. The record is from RefSeq and is a predicted model, not a curated record.
UGGAAAUGAGGAAAAUAAUGCAAGUCUUAAUUCUAAUGAAGACUUCUAAUCCAACUCUGAUCCUGCUGGCAUG